UUAGGCUUGCGGGCACGUAGAAGGGCGAGGAAAACAGAAUUUAUUGGGCAAAAAGGAAAAAGGCAAAAUAACUCUUAGCAAAGAGAAAGAGUCCUGCUAGAAGAUUUACCGCCUCACAGAUUGAAUCCCAGGUCACCACACAGCACCAGGAGAGGCCAGGCUCCUCCUCGUGGCAAACGCCAUGAACUUCCUGAGGCUCCACACCGUCCCCGCAGUGUGCAGGCUGUACAGGGAGCAUGGAUGCAUCUGCUUCUGGGGAGACCUGAGGGAGCUUUAAUUCAUGGUGGAAAGCAAAGCAGGAGCAGACAUCUUACAUGGAAGGAGCAUAACUACCACCUGUGCUGUCUUCUCAAGUUCCCUUAGAAAAGGAAUCACGUUUCAUCAAGGUCCUCAUGUUGUAGAAUGAAAUCUCUCUGACCCAUUGUAUAGCUUAAAGAUGCAAAACCCUGAAUUCUCUUAAUUAAAAAAGUAGAACCAGGGAAACCAACUCAACCUGUUGCUCUGAAUCUGAAGAGAAGUGCUAUUUGGUGAAAGCACCUCCUCAGAUUUAUGACCAGUUCAGCAUCCACAGACAGUAAUGAAGAAUAACUUUAAUAAUCAAUACUCUAUAAGGAUAGGGACUGUCAUCAGAAAAGACACCGAAAUCUUCCCUUGUCAAAUAAAUGAACAAAAAUCACUCCCAUUUGCUCACUGAUGCUUGAAAUUUCUUUAACAUGAAUUAAAUAUUUCUGGUGAAGCCAUAUGUAAUUUUGGUUAAAAGUUUAGGUAUUUACCUGGCAAACCAAAUGCAACAGACAAGAAAAAGAAAUAAAGGGUAUUCAAUUAGGA
Molecule: long non-coding RNA, 828 nt
Organism: Cebus imitator (Panamanian white-faced capuchin)
Lineage: Eukaryota; Metazoa; Chordata; Mammalia; Primates; Cebidae
Exons: 3
Source: RefSeq, a predicted model, not a curated record